This 253-nucleotide ribosomal RNA is filed under the name uncultured bacterium. RNAcentral describes it as "partial 16S ribosomal RNA". It matches the Rfam family "Bacterial small subunit ribosomal RNA", at positions 524 to 776 of the family's 1533-position model. The record is from RNAcentral.
UACGGAAGGGGCUAGCGUUGUUCGGAGUUACGGGGCGUAAAGAGCGCGUAGGCGGCUUACCAAGUUGGGGGUGAAAUCCCGGAGCUCAACUCCGGAACUGCCUUCAAAACUGGUAGGCUCGAGUCCGGAAGAGGGGCGUGGAAUUCCCAGUGUAGAGGUGAAAUUCGUAGAUAUUGGGAAGAACACCGGUGGCGAAGGCGGCGCCCUGGUCCGGUACUGACGCUGAGGCGCGAAAGCGUGGGUAGCGAAUAGG